CUUGGCGGUCAGGUGGGGGCCCACGGCCUGGUGCAGCAGGUCGCGGCACUCGAGCAGCCCGGCGGCCAGCACGCGCCGGUCGAAGGUGAAGUCCACCUGCUGGAAGCUGACGG
Molecule: microRNA precursor, 113 nt
Organism: Chlorocebus sabaeus (green monkey)
Lineage: Eukaryota; Metazoa; Chordata; Mammalia; Primates; Cercopithecidae
Source: Ensembl